RNAcentral lists this ribosomal RNA (500 nucleotides) under uncultured bacterium. Its description in RNAcentral is "bacterial SSU rRNA". It matches the Rfam family "Bacterial small subunit ribosomal RNA", at positions 21 to 518 of the family's 1533-position model. The record is from RNAcentral.
GGCUCAGGAUGAACGCUGGCGGCGUGCCUAACACAUGCAAGUCGAACGAAGCACUUUGGUUGAGAUUCGUCAAGAACCGGAUUUGACUUAGUGGCGGACGGGUGAGUAAUGUAUGAGCAACCUGCCUUCAGAGGGGGACAACAGUUGGAAACGACUGCUAAUACCGCAUAAUGUACAUUGAAGGCAUCUUUGAUGUACCAAAGGAGCAAUCCGCUGAAAGAUGGGCUCAUAUCUGAUUAGUUAGUUGGCAGGGUAACGGCCUACCAAGACUGCGAUCAGUAGCCGGACUGAGAGGUUGAACGGCCACAUUGGGACUGAGAUACGGCCCAGACUCCUACGGGAGGCAGCAGUGGGGAAUAUUGGGCAAUGGGCGAAAGCCUGACCCAAGCAACGCCGCGUGAAGGAAGAAGGUCUUCGGAUUGUAAACUUCUUUUAUGAGGGACGAAGGAUGUGACGGUACCUCAUGAAUAAGCCACGGCUAACUACGUGCCAGCAGCGGC